AUAUAUUUUCACAUAGGGUCAAUGUUAAACUUUUGCCUUGUUUCCAUGACAAUGGCAGCCAUUUUGGAACUUCUUAAUAUCGCAUGCACAUCUGGUUAUAUCAGGUAACAUUUCUAUAAAGUUUCAUCCACUUUGGUCUAAUAAUGAAAGAUUUAGAAUUUCGAUUUUUUUUCACAUUUUGUCAGUUUCCAUGACAACGGCCGCCAUCUUGGAUAUGCCAUACCCUGUUUGCACAUCUGCACAUGCUGGGCAACAUAAUGGUACACUCCCAUGACCAUUGGUUCAUACAGUUCCAAGAUAUAAGCUGGAAAA
Molecule: long non-coding RNA, 312 nt
Filed under: Mytilus galloprovincialis (Mediterranean mussel)
Lineage: Eukaryota; Metazoa; Mollusca; Bivalvia; Mytilida; Mytilidae
Source: RNAcentral